This 66-nucleotide transfer RNA is filed under the name Phataginus tetradactyla (long-tailed pangolin). RNAcentral describes it as "Manis tetradactyla (long-tailed pangolin) transfer RNA-Cys". Lineage: Eukaryota; Metazoa; Chordata; Mammalia; Pholidota; Manidae. The record is from RNAcentral.
CAGAGAGUAGUUUAUAGAGAAUAUCAGCUUUGGGGGCUGAUGGAGGGACUUUAGUCUCCUUUCUGA